Molecule: ribosomal RNA, 372 nt
Filed under: uncultured organism
Description: partial 16S ribosomal RNA
Rfam family: Bacterial small subunit ribosomal RNA
Source: RNAcentral
GUAGGUGGCAAGCGUUGUCCGGAAUUAUUGGGCGUAAAGCGCGCGCAGGCGGUCCUUUAAGUCUGAUGUGAAAGCCCACGGCUCAACCGUGGAGGGUCAUUGGAAACUGGGGGACUUGAGUACAGAAGAGGAAAGCGGAAUUCCAAGUGUAGCGGUGAAAUGCGUAGAGAUUUGGAGGAACACCAGUGGCGAAGGCGGCUUUCUGGUCCGUAACUGACGCUGAGGCGCGAAAGCGUGGGGAGCAAACAGGAUUAGAUACCCUGGUAGUCCACGCCGUAAACGAUGAGUGCUAAGUGUUAGGGGGUUUCCGCCCCUUAGUGCUGCAGCUAACGCAUUAAGCACUCCGCCUGGGGAGUACGGCCGCAAAGGCUG